Molecule: ribosomal RNA, 497 nt
Filed under: uncultured bacterium
Lineage: Bacteria
Description: partial 16S ribosomal RNA
Rfam family: Bacterial small subunit ribosomal RNA
Source: RNAcentral
GAUGAACGCUGGCGGCGUGCCUAAUACAUGCCAGUCGAGCGAACAGACGAGGAGCUUGCUCCUCUGACGUUAGCGGCGGACGGGUGAGUAACACGUGGAUAACCUACCUAUAAGACUGGGAUAACUUCGGGAAACCGGAGCUAAUACCGGAUAAUAUAUUGAACCGCAUGGUUCAAUAGUGAAAGACGGUUUUGCUGUCACUUAUAGAUGGAUCCGCGCCGCAUUAGCUAGUUGGUAAGGUAACGGCUUACCAAGGCUACGAUGCGUAGCCGACCUGAGAGGGUGAUCGGCCACACUGGAACUGAGACACGGUCCAGACUCCUACGGGAGGCAGCAGUAGGGAAUCUUCCGCAAUGGGCGAAAGCCUGACGGAGCAACGCCGCGUGAGUGAUGAAGGUCUUCGGAUCGUAAAACUCUGUUAUUAGGGAAGAACAAAUGUGUAAGUAACUAUGCACGUCUUGACGGUACCUAAUCAGAAAGCCACGGCUAACUACGUG